GCUUAGCCCCGAUGGCAGUGGUAUCCUUACUGGGCGGGGUUCGCACAGUAAGAUAUAACGAACAGCGGGACGACUG
This 76-nucleotide small RNA is filed under the name Flavobacterium succinicans. Its description in RNAcentral is "Flavo-1 RNA". It matches the Rfam family "Flavo-1 RNA". Lineage: Bacteria; Pseudomonadati; Bacteroidota; Flavobacteriia; Flavobacteriales; Flavobacteriaceae. The record is from RNAcentral.